RNAcentral lists this ribosomal RNA (237 nucleotides) under uncultured bacterium. RNAcentral describes it as "partial 16S ribosomal RNA". It matches the Rfam family "Bacterial small subunit ribosomal RNA", at positions 100 to 334 of the family's 1533-position model. The record is from RNAcentral.
CCGGCACGGGUGAGUAACACGUAUCCAACCUGCCGUCUACUCUUGGACAGCCUUCUGAAAGGAAGAUUAAUACAAGAUGGCAUCAUGAGUUCACAUGUUCACAUGAUUAAAGGUAUUCCGGUAGACGAUGGGGAUGCGUUCCAUUAGAUAGUAGGCGGGGUAACGGCCCACCUAGUCUUCGAUGGAUAGGGGUUCUGAGAGGAAGGUCCCCCACAUUGGGACUGAGACACGGUCCAA